Molecule: ribosomal RNA, 55 nt
Filed under: Trichobilharzia franki
Lineage: Eukaryota; Metazoa; Platyhelminthes; Trematoda; Strigeidida; Schistosomatidae
Description: 5.8S ribosomal RNA
Rfam family: 5.8S ribosomal RNA
About the family: 5.8S ribosomal RNA (5.8S rRNA) is a component of the large subunit of the eukaryotic ribosome. It is transcribed by RNA polymerase I as part of the 45S precursor that also contains 18S and 28S rRNA. Functionally, it is thought that 5.8S rRNA may be involved in ribosome translocation.
Source: RNAcentral
ACAACUUUGAGCGGUGGAUCACUCGGCUCGUGCGUCGAUGAAGAGUGCAGCCAAC